AGUGAACGCUGGCGGUAGGCCUAACACAUGCAAGUCGAACGGCAGCACAGAGGAGCUUGCUCCUUGGGUGGCGAGUGGCGGACGGGCGAGGAAUACAUCGGAAUCCACUCUGUCGUGGGGGAUAACGUAGGGAAACUUACGCUAAUACCGCAUACGACCUACGGGUGAAAGCAGGGGACCUUCGGGCCUUGCGCGAUUGAAUGAGCCGAUGUCGGAUUAGCUAGUUGGCGGGGUAAAGGCCCACCAAGGCGACGAUCCGUAGCUGGUCUGAGAGGAUGAUCAGCCACACUGGAACUGAGACACGGUCCAGACUCCUACGGGAGGCAGCAGUGGGGAAUAUUGGACAAUGGGCGCAAGCCUGAUCCAGCCAUACCGCGUGGGUGAAGAAGGCCUUCGGGUUGUAAAGCCCUUUUGUCGGGAAAGAAAUCCAGCUGGCUAAUACCCGGUUGGGAUGACGGUACCCAAAGAAUAAGCACCGGCUAACUUCGUGCCAGCCGCCGCGGUAA
This 506-nucleotide ribosomal RNA is filed under the name uncultured bacterium. Its description in RNAcentral is "partial 16S ribosomal RNA". It matches the Rfam family "Bacterial small subunit ribosomal RNA", at positions 29 to 523 of the family's 1533-position model. The record is from RNAcentral.